RNAcentral lists this ribosomal RNA (807 nucleotides) under uncultured bacterium. RNAcentral's name for it is "bacterial SSU rRNA". It matches the Rfam family "Bacterial small subunit ribosomal RNA", at positions 88 to 881 of the family's 1533-position model. The record is from RNAcentral.
AAAGCGAGCGGCGGAUGGGUGAGUAACACGUGGGGAACCUGCCCCUAAGUCUGGAUACCAUUUGGAAACAGGUGCUAAUACCGGAUAAUAAAGCAGAUCGCAUGAUCAGCUUUUGAAAGGCGGCGUAAGCUGUCGCUAAGGGAUGGCCCCGCGGUGCAUUAGCUAGUUGGUAAGGUAACGGCUUACCAAGGCGACGAUGCAUAGCCGAGUUGAGAGACUGAUCGGCCACAUUGGGACUGAGACACGGCCCAAACUCCUACGGGAGGCAGCAGUAGGGAAUCUUCCACAAUGGACGCAAGUCUGAUGGAGCAACGCCGCGUGAGUGAAGAAGGUUUUCGGAUCGUAAAGCUCUGUUGUUGGUGAAGAAGGAUAGAGGUAGUAACUGGCCUUUAUUUGACGGUAAUCAACCAGAAAGUCACGGCUAACUACGUGCCAGCAGCCGCGGUAAUACGUAGGUGGCAAGCGUUGUCCGGAUUUAUUGGGCGUAAAGCGAGCGCAGGCGGAAAAAUAAGUCUAAUGUGAAAGCCCUCGGCUUAACCGAGGAACUGCAUCGGAAACUGUUUUUCUUGAGUGCAGAAGAGGAGAGUGGAGCUCCAUGUGUAGCGGUGGAAUGCGUAGAUAUAUGGAAGAACACCAGUGGCGAAGGCGGCUCCCUGGUCUGCAACUGACGCUGAGGCUCGAAAGCAUGGGUAGCGAACAGGAUUAGAUACCCUGGUAGUCCAUGCCGUAAACGAUGAGUGCUAAGUGUUGGGAGGUUUCCGCCUCUCAGUGCUGCAGCUAACGCAUUAAGCACUCCGCCUGGGGAGU